RNAcentral lists this ribosomal RNA (497 nucleotides) under uncultured bacterium. Its description in RNAcentral is "partial 16S ribosomal RNA". It matches the Rfam family "Bacterial small subunit ribosomal RNA", at positions 28 to 507 of the family's 1533-position model. The record is from RNAcentral.
GAUGAACGCUGGCGGCGUGCCUAAUACAUGCAAGUCGAGCGAACGGACGAGAAGCUUGCUUCUCUGAUGUUAGCGGCGGACGGGUGAGUAACACGUGGAUAACCUACCUAUAAGACUGGGAUAACUUCGGGAAACCGGAGCUAAUACCGGAUAAUAUUUUGAACCGCAUGGUUCAAAAGUGAAAGACGGUCUUGCUGUCACUUAUAGAUGGAUCCGCGCUGCAUUAGCUAGUUGGUAAGGUAACGGCUUACCAAGGCAACGAUGCAUAGCCGACCUGAGAGGGUGAUAGGCCACACGAGAACUGAGACACGGUCCAGACUCCUACGGGAGGCAGCAGUAGGGAAUCUUACGCAAUGGGCGAAAGCAUGACGGAGCAACGCCGCGUGAGUGAUGAAGGUCUUCGGAUCGUAAAACUCUGUUAUUAGGGAAGAACAUAUGUGUAAGUAACUGUGCACAUCUUGACGGUACCUAAUCAGAAAGCCACGGCUAACUACGUG